Long non-coding RNA from Leptopilina heterotoma, 1559 nucleotides. RefSeq lists it as uncharacterized. The record is from RefSeq and is a predicted model, not a curated record. NCBI's taxonomy places the organism in Eukaryota, Metazoa, Arthropoda, Insecta, Hymenoptera, Figitidae. The transcript is spliced from 3 exons.
UUUCAGAACAUCAGAGUGAAUAUUUCAUAUUCAUUUCAAUAUUUCCAAGUAUUUUUCAAUUUAUAAGUGUUAUUUAAUCAUAAAAACAAGCGUGCAAGUAGUGAAGCACAUUAUUUACGAGUGUUAAUUGAUGGAAACAAGGAGUCAACAAUCUCGACAAUCGUGUGUCGUAUUUUACAUUUUUGUCGUCAACUCUCGUGAAAAUGUGAAAGCAUGGUAAGUGAAUUUUACUUAUUUUUGAUUGAAAAUGGUAAAUACGUGUAAAAUAAUAAGCAUAUUUGGGAAAAAUCGGAUCGUGUCAGCUAAUUUCUGAAAAUAUUCGCCACCCCCCACCCUAUUGCCCCCUCGCCCCUUUAUUAUUGCUACCCGACUUUCAAUAUGGCGUCAAAUACAUUGUUUAUUGCAAAUCCCGCUUUUUUUACUCACUUAGCAACAAUGCUGUGACCGUUGUGACUAGUAACGGAAAAUUGAGAAGAAAAUUUUGAUUUUAAUGAUUGUUUAAUUAGUAUACAUUGUGGGUUAUGUGUGUAAAACAGAGAGUCGUUUCGGAAUCAUGAGAAAUAGGUCCAUAGAUAUUCAAUUAAGAGGAAAUGUCGAAGGAACAAAGGAGUAAAAGGAAAUUUUUAAUAAAGGAAAAAAUGGAAGUAUGCCAGAAUUGAAUUUCGUGUGACAAAGGAGCAAAAGGGAAAUAUUUCUAAGUUAAAAAAUAAAAGGAACGUUAUCACCUCAUUUUCGGAAAUUGAAUCCAUUCUCAGGAAAUAAUUUGAAAAACAGAGAAAAAGGUCGUUUUUUGCCUAUGGAAAAGUACCAGCAGCAUACUGUGGAUCUAAGCAGAAGGUUAGAUUCUAAGUUCAUCCGCAUGCCUAGAAUUAACAUUUAUGAAUAUUGAAAAUUUAUUACUUUUAUAGAAAAUCCAAAGUUGGUUAAUCAACCUAUUACCCCUUUAAGAAAUAUUAAAGUUCUUAAAGGAAUGACAAGGUAAAUGCGAUUUUUAUAAAGAGCUUCAAAAGAAAAAUCGCAUUUACUUUCAGACCCCGCAUAAAAGUGAUUUUCGUAAAUUACUUAGAAUUUAAAAAAAAAAGAAAGAAUAUUUCGUGGAAGUAAUAACAGAGAUUCUAUAAAGAAAUCGCAUCGACUUUAACAUCUUAAGUUCUUAAGGACAUUUGAACCAUUAUGACGUCACAAUUUGAUUAGAACAUUUAUUCUAAAACUGUGACCAACUGUGACGUUCAUAAUGGUUCAAAUUUCGUUUAUAUCGAAUAUUGUUUCCUUGGUAGGCAGAUUAUCAAUUUUAGGAAAAACCAAUUUUUUGUACUACUGAACCCUUCCUUUUAUUUUAGUGCCGCUAAAAAUGGUUUUUGAUUCCAAAACCUUCUUUACUGCUUUUUCACCCACUGCUUCUUUGAAAAUUGUGAUUAAAACAAUUUUAGUUUUUUUUGCUUUAGGAUUUUUUAAAUUCCACGGUUUUUCCUGCAGGUUGUCAUGGUGACCUGCAAGAGUAAGAGAGACAGUGAAUUCAAAUGUAAUGCACUUUCUCUCUUACUCUUGUUGCUCCUGCA